Molecule: ribosomal RNA, 439 nt
Filed under: uncultured bacterium
Lineage: Bacteria
Description: bacterial SSU rRNA
Rfam family: Bacterial small subunit ribosomal RNA
Source: RNAcentral
AUACGGGAGGCAGCAGUGAGGAAUAUUGCGCAAUGGGCGAAAGCCUGACGCAGCAACGCCGCGUGCGGGAUGAAGGCCUUCGGGUCGUAAACCGCUUUUCGGGGGGACGAGUGAGGACGGUACCCCUGGAAUCAGUCUCGGCUAACUACGUGCCAGCAGCCGCGGUAAAACGUAGGAGGCGAGCGUUAUCCGGAUUCACUGGGCGUAAAGCGCAUGUAGGUGGCUCGUCAAGUCGCCUGUGAAAGCCCCUGGCUUAACUGGGGGAGGUCAGGCGAAACUGACGGACUUGAGGGCCGGAGAGGAAGGUGGAAUUCCCGGUGUAGCGGUGGAAUGCGUAGAGAUCGGGAGGAACACCAGUGGCGAAAGCGACCUUCUGGGCGGCGCCUGACACUGAGAUGCGAAAGCGUGGGGAGCAAACGGGCUUAGAUACCCUGGUAGU